UACGGGGGGGGCAAGCGUUGUUCGGAAUUACUGGGCGUAAAGGGCUCGUAGGCGGCCAACUAAGUCAUACGUGAAAUCCCUCGGCUUAACUGGGGAACUGCGUCUGAUACUGGAUGGCUUGAGUGUGGGAGAGGAAUGCGGAAUUCCAGGUGUAGCGGUGAAAUGCGUAGAUAUCUGGAGGAACACCGGUGGCGAAGGCGGCAUUCUGGACCAUAACUGACACUGAGAGACGAAAGCCAGGGGAGCAAACGGG
This 253-nucleotide ribosomal RNA is filed under the name uncultured bacterium. RNAcentral's name for it is "partial 16S ribosomal RNA". It matches the Rfam family "Bacterial small subunit ribosomal RNA", at positions 524 to 776 of the family's 1533-position model. The record is from RNAcentral.